RNAcentral lists this long non-coding RNA (480 nucleotides) under Brassica napus (rape). RNAcentral's name for it is "long non-coding RNA (BNAP_LNC011995)". Lineage: Eukaryota; Viridiplantae; Streptophyta; Magnoliopsida; Brassicales; Brassicaceae. The record is from RNAcentral.
CUAAACUCUCAUCUCUCUAAAAGCUCUCCCUUCUCUCUAAAAAUUCUCAGAAAUUUUCCAAAUUUUAAAGUUUUAAUCUUGUAAUCUCGAAAACAUGUAUUCCAUUUCAAGAUCAAUAAAAAGUAAGUUUAAUCAUAUUCUGUGUACAAUUUUUAAGUUUAAUACAUAUCAAAACUUUCCUUAUCAUUGUCAUAUCAAAGUAACAAUAAGUUAAAUACUAAAAUAAAAGAAAGUAGUAAAAAUAAUUUUCCAAAAAUUAUACUUUUCGAUCAAAGACCAAAACUUCACAAUGACCCACAAAAUUAAAACUGUUGUUACCUUGCAAUUUUAUAUAGAAACAGAUGCAUAGAAAAAUACGGGAAAGUGAAUCGAUGAGAGGAUACCUUCUUGAACUUCUUCACCAGCACUUCCUUCACCAAAAACCCGAGAGAAUCUCCAAUUUAAAACGACGAAGCUCCAACCUCAUCACCACCAUUCAUU